Non-coding RNA from Pangasianodon gigas (Mekong giant catfish), 77 nucleotides. NCBI's taxonomy places the organism in Eukaryota, Metazoa, Chordata, Actinopteri, Siluriformes, Pangasiidae. The record is from the annotation of a GenBank genome assembly.
GUUGUGGUGCCUCAAAGGUGUAGAGGAUCUGAAUUACAGCUCAGAAGGUCAUGUGUUCAAAUCCCAGCACUACAACA